GCUACCUUCGGGUGGAGCGGCGGACGGGUUAGUAACGCGUGGGAACAUACCCCUUUCUAUGGAAUAGCCUCGGGAAACUGAGAGUAAUACCAUAUACGCCCUUCGGGGGAAAGAUUUAUCGGUGAGGGAUUGGCCCGCGUAAGAUUAGAUAGUUGGUGGGGUAAUGGCCUACCAAGUCUACGAUCUUUAGCUGGUUUUAGAGGAUGAUCAGCAACACUGGGACUGAGACACGGCCCAGACUCCUACGGGAGGCAGCAGUGGGGAAUCUUAGACAAUGGGCGAAAGCCUGAUCUAGCCAUGCCGCGUGAGUGAUGAAGGUCUUAGGAUCGUAAAGCUCUUUCGCUAGGGAUGAUAAUGACAGUACCUAGUAAAGAAGCCCCGGCUAACUCCGUGCCAGCAGCCGCGGUAAUACGGAGGGGGCUAGCGUUGUUCGGAAUUACUGGGCGUAAAGCGUACGUAGGCGGAUCAGAAAGUAUGGGGCGAAAUCCCAGGGCUUAACCCUGGAACUGCCUCAUAAACUCCUGGUCUUGAGUUCGAGAGAGGUAAGUGGAAUUCCAAGUGUAGAGGUGAAAUUCGUAGAUAUUUGGAGGAACACCAGUGGCGAAGGCGGCUUACUGGCUCGAUACUGACGCUGAGGUACGAAAGUGUGGGGAGCAAACAGGAUUAGAUACCCUGGUAGUCCACACCGUAAACGAUGAAUG
Molecule: ribosomal RNA, 701 nt
Filed under: uncultured bacterium
Lineage: Bacteria
Description: bacterial SSU rRNA
Rfam family: Bacterial small subunit ribosomal RNA
Source: RNAcentral